Molecule: ribosomal RNA, 465 nt
Filed under: Vreelandella stevensii
Lineage: Bacteria; Pseudomonadati; Pseudomonadota; Gammaproteobacteria; Oceanospirillales; Halomonadaceae
Description: partial 16S ribosomal RNA
Rfam family: Bacterial small subunit ribosomal RNA
Source: RNAcentral
CCUACGGGAGGCUGCAGUGGGGAAUAUUGGACAAUGGGGGGAACCCUGAUCCAGCCAUGCCGCGUGUGUGAAGAAGGCCCUCGGGUUGUAAAGCACUUUCAGUGAGGAAGAACGCCUGGUGGUUAAUACCCAUCAGGAAAGACAUCACUCACAGAAGAAGCACCGGCUAACUCCGUGCCAGCAGCCGCGGUAAUACGGAGGGUGCGAGCGUUAAUCGGAAUUACUGGGCGUAAAGCGCGCGUAGGUGGCUUGAUAAGCCGGUUGUGAAAGCCCCGGGCUCAACCUGGGAACGGCAUCCGGAACUGUCAAGCUAGAGUGCAGGAGAGGAAGGUAGAAUUCCAGGUGUAGCGGUGAAAUGCGUAGAGAUCGGGAGGAAUACCAGUGGCGAAGGCGGCCUUCUGGACUGACACUGACACUGAGGUGCGAAAGCGUGGGUAGCAAACAGGAUUAGAUACCCGAGUAGUC